RNAcentral lists this ribosomal RNA (253 nucleotides) under uncultured bacterium. RNAcentral's name for it is "partial 16S ribosomal RNA". It matches the Rfam family "Bacterial small subunit ribosomal RNA", at positions 524 to 776 of the family's 1533-position model. The record is from RNAcentral.
CACGGGGGGAGCAAGCGUUGUUCGGAAUCACUGGGCGUAAAGGGCGUGUAGGCGGUCAAGUAAGUGGGAUGUGAAAUCCCUCGGCUCACCCGAGGACCUGCAUCCCAAACUGCUUGGCUUGAGUAUGGGAGAGGAUGAGGGAAUUCCUGGUGUAGCGGUGAAAUGCGCAGAUAUCAGGAAGAACACCCGUGGCGAAGGCGGCUCUCUGGGACGGUACUGACGCUGAGACGCGAAAGCGUGGGGAGCGAACAGG